Aegilops tauschii subsp. strangulata is the source of this 2179-nucleotide long non-coding RNA. RefSeq lists it as uncharacterized. NCBI's taxonomy places the organism in Eukaryota, Viridiplantae, Streptophyta, Magnoliopsida, Poales, Poaceae. The record is from RefSeq and is a predicted model, not a curated record.
GUGGAGGAACUGAGAUAAUGGAAGCAAAGCAGUGGAUGAGUUAUUUUUGGACAUUGCAAAUCAGAACUCCUGGGAGAGGCAGAGCCUGUCAAGCAUUUUAUUGUGGUGCUUUUCCCACAGGAAGCUAAUGGGAAGUGGGAACCUUGGAAGGAGUCAAUAAGAGAUAUUUACUAGGAAGUUUGAAAAUGUUGGACUAGCCUUCUCAGCAAAUUAGAAUAGACAUUUACUUUUUCUUUGAGGUGUGACUGCUAGGUUUCCUUGUUUGAGUGUGCUGGCUGCUGGUACUAUUUUAGUUGGAUUGCAUAUGUUUAGGAACAGAACAAACCUCUUGUUCCGGUUUUGGUAUGUAACCUUAGAUGUUUUUCUUGGAACAAAUCUAUCUGUUGACCGUAUACAUAUGAAAUUGCAGGUAAAUGUUAACAUCAGUGGUGCAGGAAAUUCCAUGGUCUUCCCAUUGGACUUGCAUCAGCUAUUGUUUGAUCAUGUAAACUAUAACUGGAUGGGUUAAAAACAUGGACAGAUCAGCUCAUUAAAAAGAAAAAAAAUUCUUUUCUUUUGGGUUUCGGAAGAACAUCAUUGGAUGCUGACUUGAUGUACAAAGGGGCCUUGUCCUUGUUUCUUAAAAAUGUGAGGUCAAACUCUGUGGGUGGACUCACAUAUUCGUUCUGGUCUUUGCAAUUAUAGAAGCUUGCCAGCUAUGCAUUUAAGUGUUCAGUCGUGCCUGCGUUUGCAUCCCUAGCUUUGCAAGAAAAAGGAUUUUUUAGCAGUCUUGUGCAACUGUCUGAAAAGAGUGUAUCACCUGAAAAGGAUGUUUAGCUUUCUAUGCAUCUAUUUUAUUGCAGAUUUGCUCAGAGUGCAUUUCUUGUAUCAUAAAUGUGUAACUCAGAAAUGUUUUUUGCACUGGAGGAGGUGAAAGCACAGCCAUAUACAUACUUGCUAAGAUGGCAAGGCUGGGGCAACUCUGUAUAAGUUGCACACAUGGGCAGCACUGUAGCAACUCAGAGGUAGUUACAGCAGAUAUUCUUAUGCUCGACUGAUCGGGAUAUCGAUCUGCAAGUGAUUAUCUGACCUUGUUUUCCUGAGGCAUAUGGCACUAUAACUGCCACUUGCUUUCUGCAGCGAUGUCCAGGGUACUGAUAAGGUCAUUUUGAGAAGUGUAAAACUAAUAACCAUGUUCAUCUAGCACUGCAGCCAUGGCAUAGCUGACUCUCUAGCUUCCGAGAUUGUUCCUAGCAACAGGCAUGGGUUUACUGCAGACUGGUCUCUCGAUUGGGUACAGAUACAAGCUAGGGUUUCAGCAAGAAAAGGGGAUCGGGAGAAGGAGCCGGCCGGAGGUGGGAGAGAAGAUACACACCCAAAGACGGUCCGUUCUGUCCGAUACAGGGCACUGCAUCGUGGGUGUCUGGCUACAUGGAUCUGUUCUUUGGUCAUCCAGUUGUGCUGUUUGUCAUAGCCCUAUAACUCUGCUGGUGUCCUGCUGCGUGAUGAACCAGAAACGCUCCUAUCAUGAACCGAAUUGAGCAGUACAAUGGCUGUUUUGCUGGAGUUCCUCACAGUAUGAUUCAGGCAACCCUUGCUCUGCUGUACCUCGUGACUCGUGAGCCCUAUGGACCUUUUCCCUGAAGCUUCCCUAGGGUACCGUGGCCUGCUGGAUGACAUCCUGGUGUUCAUCGUCGCGUAUGCCUACAUCUCCGCCACCUACCGGGCCUUGCUUGUCGCUCGACAUGCCGUGUGAGUCGAUUGGUAUGACAUGAGCAGUUGCUGACAGACACAGGGAACUGAACUGAAUUUCAUGGAGCUGCAGAUCUGAGAUUGAUCAGCUUGAUUGGUGGAUUUAUGCUAGAUAUAUUACAUAUAGUGAGUGGCAUAUACGACAUACUUACUUUGGUCAUAAUGUGGUUCUGGCAGAAUGUGGAUACAUAUGCAGGGACCAUCCGACUCAUGUUGUAGUGCCGAGCUAGGAUCUUAGGGAUCGAGAUUUCACAUGCCAUGCUAAUCGAAUGUUAGGUUUUAGAUCAGCAGGGGGCGGGCCAAAGGCCUCCCUGGUUCCGUUAUCAUAAUGAAACCCUUUUUUUUUGCGGGGUUAUCAUAAUGAAACCAGAGUAAACAUACUUCAGUACCAAAACAGGUUCAGGUUCUAACACUGUUUCGUAUCAAAAUAUAAGAAGUUUUUUUGACA